GGCCUGGUGGUGUAGUGGUUAACACGUCUGCUUUACAUAAUGAGAUUCUUGAUGUUUAGCAGGAGGCUCUCGUUCGAUCCGAAGCCAGGCCA
Mycena latifolia is the source of this 92-nucleotide non-coding RNA. NCBI's taxonomy places the organism in Eukaryota, Fungi, Basidiomycota, Agaricomycetes, Agaricales, Mycenaceae. The record is from the annotation of a GenBank genome assembly.